RNAcentral lists this ribosomal RNA (338 nucleotides) under uncultured Coprothermobacter sp. Its description in RNAcentral is "bacterial SSU rRNA". It matches the Rfam family "Bacterial small subunit ribosomal RNA", at positions 1043 to 1382 of the family's 1533-position model. The record is from RNAcentral. Lineage: Bacteria; Pseudomonadati; Coprothermobacterota; Coprothermobacteria; Coprothermobacterales; Coprothermobacteraceae.
GCAUGGUUGUCGUCAGCUCGUGUCGUGAGAUGUUGGGUUAAGUCCCGCAACGAGCGCAACCCUCGCCUCUAGUUGCCAGCAUUCGGUUGGGCACUCUAGGCGAACUGCCGUUGACAAAACGGAGGAAGGUGGGGAUGACGUCAAAUCAUCAUGCCCCUUAUGUUCUGGGCUACACACGUGCUACAAUGGCCGGUACAGACGGACGCAAAGCCGCGAGGUGGAGCAAAUCCUAAAAAGCCGGUCUCAGUUCGGAUUGCAGGCUGCAAUUCGCCUGCAUGAAGUCGGAAUCGCUAGUAAUCGCAGGUCAGCAUACUGCGGUGAAUACGUUCCCGGGCCUU